RNAcentral lists this ribosomal RNA (492 nucleotides) under uncultured bacterium. RNAcentral describes it as "partial 16S ribosomal RNA". It matches the Rfam family "Bacterial small subunit ribosomal RNA", at positions 29 to 507 of the family's 1533-position model. The record is from RNAcentral.
AUUGAACGCUGGCGGCAUGCUUUACACAUGCAAGUCGAGCGGUAACGGGCCUUCGGGUGCUGACGAGUGGCGAACGGGUGAGUAAUGCAUCGGAACGUACCCAGAGGUGGGGGAUAACGCAGCGAAAGCUGUGCUAAUACCGCAUGUGAUCUGAGGAUGAAAGCGGGGGACCGCGCAGCAAUGUUUGGCCUCGCGCCUUUGGAGCGGCCGAUGUCGGAUUAGCUAGUUGGUGGGGUAAAGGCCUACCAAGGCGACGAUCCGUAGCUGGUCUGAGAGGACGACCAGCCACACUGGGACUGAGACACGGCCCAGACUCCUACGGGAGGCAGCAGUGGGGAAUUUUGGACAAUGGGCGCAAGCCUGAUCCAGCAAUGCCGCGUGCGGGAAGAAGGCCUUCGGGUUGUAAACCGCUUUUGGCAGGAACGAAACGGUGUCCGCUAAUACCGGGCGCUAAUGACGGUACCUGCAGAAUAAGCACCGGCUAACUACGUG